RNAcentral lists this ribosomal RNA (181 nucleotides) under Amycolatopsis eburnea. RNAcentral describes it as "Amycolatopsis sp. GLM-1 partial 16S ribosomal RNA". It matches the Rfam family "Bacterial small subunit ribosomal RNA", at positions 1 to 182 of the family's 1533-position model. Lineage: Bacteria; Bacillati; Actinomycetota; Actinomycetes; Pseudonocardiales; Pseudonocardiaceae. The record is from RNAcentral.
UUGUUGGAGAGUUUGAUCCUGGCUCAGGACGAACGCUGGCGGCGUGCUUAACACAUGCAAGUCGAACGCUGAAGCACCUUCGGGUGUGGAUGAGUGGCGAACGGGUGAGUAACACGUGGGUAAUCUGCCCUGCACUCUGGGAUAAGCCUUGGAAACGAGGUCUAAUACCGGAUAUCACUUU